RNAcentral lists this ribosomal RNA (1083 nucleotides) under Bacillus sp. C-30. RNAcentral's name for it is "bacterial SSU rRNA". It matches the Rfam family "Bacterial small subunit ribosomal RNA", at positions 36 to 1086 of the family's 1533-position model. Lineage: Bacteria; Bacillati; Bacillota; Bacilli; Caryophanales; Bacillaceae. The record is from RNAcentral.
GUGACUGCGGGUGCUAUACAUGCAAGUCGAGCGCGGGAAGCGAGUGGAUCCCUUCGGGGUGAAGCUCGUGGAACGAGCGGCGGACGGGUGAGUAACACGUGGGCAACCUGCCUGUAAGAUCGGAAUAACCCCGGGAAACCGGGGCUAAUGCCGGGUAAUACUUUUCUUCGCAUGAAGAUAAGUUGAAAGAUGGCUUCUCGCUAUCACUUACAGAUGGGCCCGCGGCGCAUUAGCUAGUUGGUGAGGUAACGGCUCACCAAGGCAACGAUGCGUAGCCGACCUGAGAGGGUGAUCGGCCACACUGGGACUGAGACACGGCCCAGACUCCUACGGGAGGCAGCAGUAGGGAAUCUUCCGCAAUGGACGAAAGUCUGACGGAGCAACGCCGCGUGAACGAUGAAGGUCUUCGGAUCGUAAAGUUCUGUUGUCAGGGAAGAACAAGUACCGUGCGAAUAGAGCGGUACCUUGACGGUACCUGACGAGGAAGCCCCGGCUAACUACGUGCCAGCAGCCGCGGUAAUACGUAGGGGGCAAGCGUUGUCCGGAAUUAUUGGGCGUAAAGCGCGCGCAGGCGGUUCCUUAAGUCUGAUGUGAAAGCCCACGGCUCAACCGUGGAGGGUCAUUGGAAACUGGGGAACUUGAGGACAGAAGAGGAGAGUGGAAUUCCACGUGUAGCGGUGAAAUGCGUAGAUAUGUGGAGGAACACCAGUGGCGAAGGCGACUCUCUGGUCUGUUUCUGACGCUGAGGUGCGAAAGCGUGGGUAGCAAACAGGAUUAGAUACCCUGGUAGUCCACGCCGUAAACGAUGAGUGCUAGGUGUUAGGGGGCUUCCACCCCUUAGUGCUGAAGUUAACGCAUUAAGCACUCCGCCUGGGGAGUACGGCCGCAAGGCUGAAACUCAAAGGAAUUGACGGGGGCCCGCACAAGCGGUGGAGCAUGUGUUUAAUUCGAAGCAACGCGAAGAACCUUACCAGGUCUUGACAUCCUUGGACCUCCCUAGAGAUAGGGACUUCCCUUCGGGGACCAGUGACAGGUGGUGCAUGGUUGUCGUCAGCUCGUGUCGUGAGAAUGUUGGGUUAAGUU